UCCGAGUUGACCCCGGCAGUCUCCCAUGAGUCCCCGGCAUGACCCGCUGGCAACAUAGGAUAAGGGUUGCGCUCGUUGCGGGACUUAACCCAGCAUCUCACGACACGAGCUGACGACAACCAUGCACCACCUGUGUACGAGUGUCCAAAGAGAACCCCAUCUCUGGGGCGUUCUCGUACAUGUCAAGCCUUGGUAAGGUGGGGAUGACGUAUUCUACG
RNAcentral lists this unclassified non-coding RNA (218 nucleotides) under uncultured Promicromonosporaceae bacterium. RNAcentral's name for it is "contains 16S-23S intergenic spacer region". The record is from RNAcentral. Lineage: Bacteria; Bacillati; Actinomycetota; Actinomycetes; Micrococcales; Promicromonosporaceae.